CUAGGAGAGUGAUGCAAAGAUAUGGGAAUCUGAAUGUUGCAGUGAAUCAGAGUUAGAAAUGGUGACUGGAAUUGAUUUUAGAUAUUGUUGUCAUUUGUCGAAUGAGAGGUUAGAGACUCCAUAUGAUGAAAUUUCGUGGUCAGAUUUAUUUUGGCUUAAUGCAUAUGAAUACUUGUGGGAAAUGUGCAAUUGAGCCAUUCACGUUACAUUUUGUUUAAUUGAAUACAAAACUUUUAUUUUAUGUUCAAUUGAACCUUUAAUAAACUAGUGUUUGCACAAUGUGGAUCACAAAAUUUCAUCAUAUGGAGUCUCUAACCUC
RNAcentral lists this unclassified non-coding RNA (319 nucleotides) under Hevea brasiliensis (rubber tree). The record is from RNAcentral. Lineage: Eukaryota; Viridiplantae; Streptophyta; Magnoliopsida; Malpighiales; Euphorbiaceae.